RNAcentral lists this ribosomal RNA (857 nucleotides) under uncultured bacterium. RNAcentral's name for it is "bacterial SSU rRNA". It matches the Rfam family "Bacterial small subunit ribosomal RNA", at positions 642 to 1502 of the family's 1533-position model. The record is from RNAcentral.
UAGAGUACAGGAGAGGAAAGCGGAAUNNNNNNNGUAGCGGUGAAAUGCGUAGAUAUUAGGAAGAACACCAGUGGCGAAGGCGGCUUUCUGGACUGAAACUGACGCUGAGGCUCGAAAGCGUGGGGAGCAAACAGGAUUAGAUACCCUGGUAGUCCACGCCGUAAACGAUGAGUGCUAGGUGUCGGGGAGGAAUCCUCGGUGCCGCAGCUAACGCAAUAAGCACUCCACCUGGGGAGUACGACCGCAAGGUUGAAACUCAAAGGAAUUGACGGGGGCCCGCACAAGCGGUGGAGCAUGUGGUUUAAUUCGAAGCAACGCGAAGAACCUUACCAAGGCUUGACAUCCCGAUGACCGCUCUAGAGAUAGAGCUUCUCUUCGGAGCAUCGGUGACAGGUGGUGCAUGGUUGUCGUCAGCUCGUGUCGUGAGAUGUUGGGUUAAGUCCCGCAACGAGCGCAACCCUUAUCUUCAGUAGCCAUCAUUCAGUUGGGCACUCUGGAGAGACUGCCGUGGAUAACACGGAGGAAGGUGGGGAUGACGUCAAAUCAUCAUGCCCCUUAUGUCUUGGGCUACACACGUGCUACAAUGGCUGGUAACAAAGUGACGCGAAACGGCGACGUUAAGCAAAUCACAAAAACCCAGUCCCAGUUCGGAUUGUAGUCUGCAACUCGACUACAUGAAGCUGGAAUCGCUAGCAAUCGCGGAUCAGCAUGUCGCGGUGAAUACGUUCCCGGGCCUUGUACACACCGCCCGUCACACCAUGGGAGUUGGAAGCACCCGAAGUCGGUGACCUAACCGUAAGGAAGGAGCCGCCGAAGGUGAAGCCAGUGACUGGGGUGAAGUCGUAACAAGGUAACCA